RNAcentral lists this ribosomal RNA (465 nucleotides) under Vreelandella stevensii. RNAcentral's name for it is "partial 16S ribosomal RNA". It matches the Rfam family "Bacterial small subunit ribosomal RNA", at positions 338 to 795 of the family's 1533-position model. Lineage: Bacteria; Pseudomonadati; Pseudomonadota; Gammaproteobacteria; Oceanospirillales; Halomonadaceae. The record is from RNAcentral.
CCUACGGGUGGCAGCAGUGGGGAAUAUUGGACAAUGGGCGAAAGCCUGGUCCAGCCAUGCCGCGUGUGUGAAGAAGGCCUUCGGGUUGUAAAGCACUUUCAGUGGGGAAGAAAGCCUUGGGGCUAAUACCCUCGAGGAAGGACAUCACCCACAGAAGAAGCACCGGCUAACUCCGUGCCAGCAGCCGCGGUAAUACGGAGGGUGCGAGCGUUAAUCGGAAUUACUGGGCGUAAAGCGCGCGUAGGCGGUCUGAUAAGCCGGUUGUGAAAGCCCCGGGCUCAACCUGGGAACGGCAUCCGGAACUGUCAGGCUAGAGUGCAGGAGAGGAAGGUAGAAUUCCCGGUGUAGCGGUGAAAUGCGUAGAGAUCGGGAGGAAUACCAGUGGCGAAGGCGGCCUUCUGGACUGACACUGACGCUGAGGUGCGAAAGCGUGGGUAGCAAACAGGAUUAGAUACCCCUGUAGUC